This 1356-nucleotide ribosomal RNA is filed under the name uncultured bacterium. RNAcentral describes it as "bacterial SSU rRNA". It matches the Rfam family "Bacterial small subunit ribosomal RNA". The record is from RNAcentral.
GAGUUUGAUCAUGGCUCAGGACGAACGCUGGCGGUGCGCCUAAUGCAUGCAAGUCGAACGGGCGGAGGGGCUUCGGCCCCCGAGCUAGUGGCAGACGGCUGAGUAACACGUAAGUGAUCUGCCCCGGAGAGGGGGAUAACCCGGAGAAGUCCGGCCUAAUACCCCGUACGCUCUCUUUUCUGCGGUUUAGAGAGGAAAGUUCCGGCGCUCUGGGAGGAGCUUGCGGCCUAUCAUGGUAGUUGGUGGGGUAAAAGCCUACCAAGCCGAAGACGGGUAACCGGUGUGAGAGCACGAUCGGUCAGAGGGGGACUGAGACACGGCCCCCACUCCUACGGGAGGCAGCAGCAGGGAAUCUUGCGCAAUGGGCGAAAGCCUGACGCAGCGACACCGCGUGGGGGAUGAAGGCUUUCGAGUUGUAAACCCCUUUUCCCAGGGAUGAGAAAGGACAGUACCUGGGGAAUAAGGUUCGGCUAACUACGUGCCAGCAGCCGCGGUAAUACGUAGGAACCGAGCGUUGUCCGGAUUUACUGGGCGUAAAGUGCGCGUAGGCGGUCCGUUAAGUCUCAUGUGAAAUCUCCCGGCUCAACUGGGAGGGGUCAUGGGAUACUGGCAGACUUGAGUGCAGCAGAGGGAAGUGGAAUUCCCGGAGUAGUGGUGGAAUGCGUAGAUCACCGGGAGGAACACCAGAGGCGAUGGCGACUCCCUGGGCUGUGACUGACGCUGAGGCGCGAAAGCGUGGGUAGCAAACCGGAUUAGAUACCCGGGUAGUCCACGCCCUACACGAUGGAUACUAGGUAUGCGGGGUAUCGACCCCCUCCGUGCCGCAGCUAACGCAAUAAGUAUCCCGCGUGAGGAGUACGGCCGCAAGGCUAAAUCUCAAAGGAAUUGACGGGGACCCGCACAAGCAGCUGAUCGUGUGGUAUAAUUAGAUGCUAAGCGAAGAACCUUACCAGGGCUUGAAAUGCUUGUGACAGCCUGGUAUUCCAGGUUUUCCUUUGGUACAGAUGCACAGAUUUUGCAUGGCUGUGGUCAGCUUGUGUCGUGAGAUGUUGGGUUAAGUCCUGCAACGAGCGCAACCCAUGUCGUUAGUUAGGAUGUUUUACGAGACUGCCCCCAUUGUGGUGAGGAAGGUGGGGUGGAGGUCAAGUCAUCAUGGCUCUUACGUCCUGGGGUACACACACGAUACAAUGGUUUGGACAGAGGGUUGCAAAGGCGCGAGCCCUAGCUAAUCCCACAAACCAGGCCCCAGUUGGAAUUGCAGGUUGCAACCCGCCUGCAUGAACGCGGAGUUGCUAGUAACCGCAGGUCAGCACACUGCGGUGAAUACGUUCUCGGGUCUUGUACACACCGCCCGUA